RNAcentral lists this transfer-messenger RNA (131 nucleotides) under Escherichia coli. RNAcentral's name for it is "partial transfer-messenger RNA". It matches the Rfam family "transfer-messenger RNA", at positions 1 to 137 of the family's 374-position model. Rfam says of the family: Bacterial tmRNA, also known as 10Sa RNA or SsrA, is named for its dual tRNA and mRNA-like properties. Its role is to liberate the mRNA from a stalled ribosome. To accomplish this part of the tmRNA is used as a reading frame that ends in a translation stop signal. Lineage: Bacteria; Pseudomonadati; Pseudomonadota; Gammaproteobacteria; Enterobacterales; Enterobacteriaceae. The record is from RNAcentral. RNAcentral also lists the same sequence under 2 other names.
GGGGCUGAUUCUGGAUUCGACGGGAUUUGCGAAACCCAAGGUGCAUGCCGAGGGGCGGUUGGCCUCGUAAAAAGCCGCAAAAAAUAGUCGCAAACGACGAAAACUACGCUUUAGCAGCUUAAUAACCUGCU